ACUAAGCGGCGGACGGGUGAGUAACGCGUGGGUAACCUGCCUCAUACAGGGGGAUAACAGUUGGAAACGGCUGCUAAUACCGCAUAAGCGCACAGUACCGCAUGGUACGGUGUGAAAAACUCCGGUGGUAUGAGAUGGACCCGCGUCUGAUUAGGUAGUUGGUGGGGUAACGGCCUACCAAGCCGACGAUCAGUAGCCGACCUGAGAGGGUGACCGGCCACAUUGGGACUGAGACACGGCCCAA
This 244-nucleotide ribosomal RNA is filed under the name uncultured bacterium. RNAcentral's name for it is "partial 16S ribosomal RNA". It matches the Rfam family "Bacterial small subunit ribosomal RNA", at positions 90 to 334 of the family's 1533-position model. The record is from RNAcentral.